Molecule: ribosomal RNA, 484 nt
Filed under: uncultured bacterium
Lineage: Bacteria
Description: partial 16S ribosomal RNA
Rfam family: Bacterial small subunit ribosomal RNA
Source: RNAcentral
AUUGAACGCUGGCGGCAGGCCUAACACAUGCAAGUCGAGCGGAUGAAGGGAGCUUGCUCCUGGAUUCAGCGGCGGACGGGUGAGUAAUGCCUAGGAAUCUGCCUGGUAGUGGGGGAUAGCGUCCGGAAACGGGCGCUAAUACCGCAUACGUCCUGAGGGAGAAAGUGGGGGAUCUUCGGACCUCACGCUAUCAGAUGAGCCUAGGUCGGAUUAGCUAGUUGGUGGGGUAAAGGCCUACCAAGGCGACGAUCCGUAACUGGUCUGAGAGGAUGAUCAGUCACACUGGAACUGAGACACGGUCCAGACUCCUACGGGAGGCAGCAGUGGGGAAUAUUGGACGAUGGGCGAAAGCCUGAUCCAGCCAUGCCGCGUGUGUGAAGAAGGUCCUCGGAUUGUAAAGCACUUUAAGUUGGGAGGAAGGGCAGUAAGUUAAUACCUUGCUGUUUUGACGUUACCAACAGAAUAAGCACCGGCUAACUUCGUG